Long non-coding RNA from Anneissia japonica, 1247 nucleotides. RefSeq lists it as uncharacterized. The record is from RefSeq and is a predicted model, not a curated record. Lineage: Eukaryota; Metazoa; Echinodermata; Crinoidea; Comatulida; Comatulidae. The transcript has 5 exons.
CUUAUUGUAGACAAUAGUCAACAACACAGGUUUACUGAAAUACCUUCUUUUCAAAAAAUACCAACAAUGACGUGCACACGUAGCCUGCAAGCAAUGGUAGUCGUAUUCCUUGUACUGUUUGAUUUGAAUGCACAUCACCCUGUUGACGCCAUGCCUUUUGCCAAAGAACAUGGUCGAGUUCGCCGGCAACCAAUCGUACAAGAGGCUAGAUUGGAUGCCGCCAAAGACCCACUGCAGGAUAACAUGAUCGAAACACCAGAUUGUCCCCCUGGUUAUUGGUGCUAAAAAUGUUGAUUAAUCAAUCUGAUGGGCUGAAGUAAAGAAGAAUACAAUAAUCAUUUACUCAAUCGCUAGACUUGGUUCAUUACAUGGAUUUUCUUCUAUUUAAUUCUAUUUUAGUAUAAACAAAUUCAUAUUAUUAUAAAUUACAUAAAAUUAUAUAUAAUAAUAAUAGCGAUUAUAAUAAUAAUUAUUAUUAUUAAUAUUAACAUUAUUAUCAUUAAUAUUAUUAUUAUAACUAUAAUUAUUACUAUUAUUAUUACUAUUGUUAUUAUUAUUUUAUCGGAUUUUCAGUACCCACUGCUACUCGGGGAUCGGAUUCAACACUAGUCACUAAACGCAAGCCUGGUAGUCUAGUGGUUAUGGGGCCAAGGUGGUUUUAUCUAGAGGUCAUGGGUUCGAUUCCCACUCGAAUCCCUUGAAAAUGUUUUCACAAGUAUUUGGGAACGUACUGAGUACUACGUACGAUAACACGCCGGGUAGGGCAAAACAUUACUCCUAUGAUACUGUUAUUAUUAUUAUUAUUAUUAUUAUUAUUAUUAUUAUUAUUAUUAUUAUUGAUAUUAACAAUAUAGAUAACAAAUUUUCGUUUUUGUAAAGCUAGAAUGGAAACGGUGUACUCCUAGUAUUCCUGAAGCUAAAUGAAAUUCUUUCAAGAUAUUAACAAUAUAUAGCACAUAAUUUUAUGAUUAACAGCCUCAUAUUAAUAAAAAAAAAACAUCUUAACGCAAGAUAUAAAAGUGAUUAAAUCUGUUAUAAAAUAAAUGUUUGUUUAAAAAUGCACUAACAUCAUUGUGACUAAACUUUUAUUUAUAGUUGUAGACGAUAACAUUUUUUUAUUGUCACUUGAUCUCUUUAAAUCAUGAAAGACAUUUGGCCACACAUAUAUAAUAUAUUCUUUUUGGUGAAUGUAGUCAUUAUACUAGUAUUACGAUUCAUUUCAAUAAACUAAUACAUCGAUUACAUGA